UUCAUCAACAGUAAAUUAGCCCGAAUUUCAUAUUAAUUCUUUAAUAACAAAUUAACCAAAAUUUCAUAUUAAUUUACCAACAACAAAUUAACAUAAAUCUCAUACUAAUUAAUAAAGCUCAAAUAUAAGGCCCACAAAUACACAAGCCCAAUUUCAACAAUAAUUAAUAUUAAAAUUAAAUAAAGAAAAAAAUAGUAGUAGUAGUAGUAGUAGUAGUAAUAAUAAUAAUAAUAAUAACAACAAUAAUAAUAACCGACUAUCGAAAAAAAAAAAGGUGGAAGAUGAGGGAAUCCCCGACUAUUGAAAAUGACGUCGGUGAUGACUGAACGGCGAUGGAUAUGG
This 342-nucleotide long non-coding RNA is filed under the name Vitis vinifera (wine grape). RNAcentral's name for it is "long non-coding RNA (VVIN_LNC007041)". Lineage: Eukaryota; Viridiplantae; Streptophyta; Magnoliopsida; Vitales; Vitaceae. The record is from RNAcentral.